GCCUUAUAGUAUAUAUUAAACAAUUACAGUAAAUUGCAACUUUACUAAAGCCGACUGCUAAGGCA
RNAcentral lists this transfer RNA (65 nucleotides) under Nodularia douglasiae. RNAcentral's name for it is "tRNA-Cys". Lineage: Eukaryota; Metazoa; Mollusca; Bivalvia; Unionida; Unionidae. The record is from RNAcentral.